RNAcentral lists this ribosomal RNA (681 nucleotides) under Streptomyces sp. RNAcentral describes it as "bacterial SSU rRNA". It matches the Rfam family "Bacterial small subunit ribosomal RNA", at positions 57 to 755 of the family's 1533-position model. Lineage: Bacteria; Bacillati; Actinomycetota; Actinomycetes; Kitasatosporales; Streptomycetaceae. The record is from RNAcentral.
GCAGUCGAACGAUGAACCACUUCGGUGGGGAUUAGUGGCGAACGGGUGAGUAACACGUGGGCAAUCUGCCCUGCACUCUGGGACAAGCCCUGGAAACGGGGUCUAAUACCGGAUACUGAUUGUCUUGGGCAUCCUUGAUGAUCGAAAGCUCCGGCGGUGCAGGAUGAGCCCGCGGCCUAUCAGCUUGUUGGUGAGGUAACGGCUCACCAAGGCGACGACGGGUAGCCGGCCUGAGAGGGCGACCGGCCACACUGGGACUGAGACACGGCCCAGACUCCUACGGGAGGCAGCAGUGGGGAAUAUUGCACAAUGGGCGCAAGCCUGAUGCAGCGACGCCGCGUGAGGGAUGACGGCCUUCGGGUUGUAAACCUCUUUCAGCAGGGAAGAAGCGAAAGUGACGGUACCUGCAGAAGAAGCGCCGGCUAACUACGUGCCAGCAGCCGCGGUAAUACGUAGGGCGCAAGCGUUGUCCGGAAUUAUUGGGCGUAAAGAGCUCGUAGGCGGCUUGUCGCGUCGGUUGUGAAAGCCCGGGGCUUAACCCCGGGUCUGCAGUCGAUACGGGCAGGCUAGAGUUCGGUAGGGGAGAUCGGAAUUCCUGGUGUAGCGGUGAAAUGCGCAGAUAUCAGGAGGAACACCGGUGGCGAAGGCGGAUCUCUGGGCCGAUACUGACGCUGAGGAGCG